GCGUCCUUAGUUCAGUUGGUAGAACGCAGGUCUCCAAAACCUGAUGGCGAGGGUUCAAGUCCUUCAGGACGUG
RNAcentral lists this transfer RNA (73 nucleotides) under Sciadococcus taiwanensis. Its description in RNAcentral is "tRNA-Trp". It matches the Rfam family "tRNA". From Rfam's summary of the family: Transfer RNA (tRNA) molecules are approximately 80 nucleotides in length. The record is from RNAcentral. Lineage: Eukaryota; Rhodophyta; Bangiophyceae; Cavernulicolales; Cavernulicolaceae.